RNAcentral lists this long non-coding RNA (1382 nucleotides) under Homo sapiens (human). Its description in RNAcentral is "non-protein coding lnc-SPANXB1-7:5". Lineage: Eukaryota; Metazoa; Chordata; Mammalia; Primates; Hominidae. The record is from RNAcentral.
GCAAUGUGCAGAUAUACAGCAGUACUCACCUCAAAUUACAGAAAGUCAUACAACAAGAUCCCUGCUGGUUCCAUGAUACACACAUUCCAUACACAGACACAGACACAUUCCAUACACACACACACAUUCCAUACACGUGCACACACACAUUCCAUACACACAGACACACAUUCCAUACACACAGACACAUAUUCGAUACAUUCCACACACACACACAUUCCAUACACACACAUUCCAUACACACACAUUCCAUACACACACAUUCCAUACACACACAUUCCAUACACACACACAUUCCAUACACAGACACAUUCCAUACACACACACAUUCCAUACACACACAUUCCACACACACAUUCCAUACACACACACACUUCCAUACACAGAGACACAUUCCAUACACGCACAGACACACAUUCUGUACACACACACACAAACACAUAUUCCGUGUACACACACUUCCAUACACACAGAGACACGUUCCAUGCCCACACAUUCCAUACACACACAGACACAUCCAGUACACACACACACAGACACAUUCCAUAUACACACACACAUUCCCUACAUACACACACAGACACAUUCCAUACACACACCCAUACUCAUUCCAUACACACAGAGACACAUUCCAUACACACACGCACACAUUCCACACGCACACACAUUCCAUAUACACACACAGACACAUUCCAUACACACACAUUCCAUACACACACACACACAUUCCAUAUACACAUACACAUUCCGUAUACACACACAGACUCAUUCCAUACACACACAGAGACACAUUCCAUUACACACACUCAGACACAUUCCACACACACACAUUCAUACACACACACAUUCCAUACACACACACAGAAUCAUUCCAUACACACACAGACACAUUCCAUACACACAGACACACAUUUGAUACACACACACAUUCCAUAUACACACACAUUCCAUACACACACAUUGCAUACCAACACACACACAUUCCAUACACAUACACAGACACACAUUCCAUACACACACAAACACAUUCCGUACACAUACUCAGACACACAUUCCAUACACACACACACAUUCCGUACACACACACAGUCACACAUUCCAUACACACACACAUUCCAUACGCACAAACACAUUCCAUACACACACACAUAUUCCAUAAACACAAACACAUUCCAUACACACACACAGACUAAUUCCAUACACAGAGACACAUUCCAUACACUUACGCAGACACAUUCCACACACACACACAUUCCAUGCACACACAUAGACUCAUUCCGUACACACACAUAGACACAUUCCAUACACACACAGACACAUUCCAUAUGCAUACGCAGGUAUGUCCCCAAAGAAAUAGAUUGUCUCCAUCAUAUGCACAUUAA